Molecule: ribosomal RNA, 424 nt
Filed under: uncultured bacterium
Lineage: Bacteria
Description: partial 16S ribosomal RNA
Rfam family: Bacterial small subunit ribosomal RNA
Source: RNAcentral
AAUUUGUGACAAUGUGGGAAACCCUGAUCCAGCCAUCCCGCGUGUAUGAUGACGGAAUUCGGGUUGUAAAGUACUUUUGGCAGAGAAAAAAAGGUAUCCCCUAAUACGGGCAAAUGCUCACGGUCUCUGCAGAAUAAGCACCGGCUAACGACGUGCCAGCCGCCGCGGUAAUACGUAGGGUGCAAGCGUUAAUCGGAAUUACUGGGCGUAAAGCGUGUGUAGGCGGUUCGGAAAGAAAGAUGUGAAAUCCCAGGGCUCAACCUUGGAACUGCAUUUUUAACUGCCGAGCUAGAGUAUGUCAGAGGGGGGUAGAAUUCCACGUGUAGCAGUGAAAUGCGUAGAUAUGUGGAGGAAUACCGAUGGCGAAGGCAGCCCCCUGGGAUAAUACUGACGCUCAGACACGAAAGCGUGGGGAGCAAACAGG